Molecule: unclassified non-coding RNA, 2607 nt
Filed under: Limulus polyphemus (Atlantic horseshoe crab)
Lineage: Eukaryota; Metazoa; Arthropoda; Merostomata; Xiphosura; Limulidae
Description: swi5-dependent recombination DNA repair protein 1 homolog, transcript variant X1
Source: RNAcentral
CUACUUUAAGAGGUAAACUCAAAACUAAAGCUUGGAUGAAGAAAAAAAAUAUAGGAUAUUAUAAUGUAUAUUUUCUUGUAAUGUGCUUGAUCUAUGAAGAAUAAAUAUCAAUUAGAAAAUGGAUAAAUCUCCUGGAUUAUGUGGCACACCUCAUUUGGCAGGAAAACAGAUGAGUACUAGCUUGAAAGAACGAUUACGGCGCUUAGGACGUCUUCGUUAUUCUCCACUGUCAGUCAGCCAGGAGCCGACUACACCAAAUACUAAACAUAACACCAUUUACAAUUCAAAAUGUAUAUCACCUCAACAGAAUGUAGUCGAUAAACAUAGUAUGUCCACCAUGGACAAGAAGCACGAACAGUACAACUCUCCUAUAACAGAAAUGAAUGAAUCAGUAGCUGUUUCCAAGACUGACAAGAAACACAAACAGUACAACUCUCCUGUAACAGAAAUGAAUGAAUUAGUAGCUGUUUCCAAGACUGACACCAUAACAGUGAAUGUAUCUACAAAUGUCUUGCAUGACAGUACUUCAAGUAAGUUGCUGUGCAGAUUAAGUGAACUUCAAGGACAAAUUGCAAAAAAGGAAGACAUCUUGAGAAAAUUAAAGAUGGUGAAGGUGUACCGGCUGAAGAAUGAUCCAGCAACGUUUGAGCAGCUUAUUGUUAAAUGGCGACGAAUAACACAAGAAGCAGUACAAGAUCUACACCAAAGGAUGCCUGAACCUAGACCUUUAAUCACUGAUCUCAUCAAUCAUUUGCAGAUUGAUCAUAAACUGUUAGGUUAUGUUGCUGAAGAUAUGACUUUUGAUUAUAUAUCAGCCUGAUCUAUGGACUUUAUUCUCUCAGUAAUAUUUACUUUACUUCCUGUUGAAGUUACCACAUCAAAAGGACACUUUGGUGGAACUGAAAGGUAACAGUGUGCAAAUUUUACCAUGCCAGAAAUCAACAAUAUGGACAUUUUUGUCACUUUCAGUGGCAUGGUAUUUAUAUGCUUGGAUUUUAUCUGUGAAAGUUUAAUGGCAAAGGUAUGACAUCCAAGAAGCAGGCUUACUGUGGGUGACGAAUAUGAAUAGUAUUCAUAAAGGUUGCUGAUGACUGGAAAAAAUGGAAACUGUAUUUUUGCUAUAGUUUGUCUAAAUACAUCUUGCUUGUGCUGAUUCAGUGUUUCUGAUUUGUUGUGAUGUGCUUUGUCCUGCCAUCCACUCCAGUAGAGUAAAUCAGUUACUUUGUUGAAGGCCAAAUGAAUUCAAACUAUGCUAGUAAGUCCAUGAAACAUGUUACACACUGAGCACUGAAAAGCAUGUCAUGCUUCCAGUAUCAAGCAGUUCUUUCAGUUUUUCAAAGCUUGUGUGUCUGGUGUUAAUUGAAGUUCUUGUUGUACAAACUCUUUGUAAAUAUCAAAAUUAUCAUUAUGGAAUGUGGCACUUUUAAUCCAGGCCUUCCACUGUGUAAAAGCAGGCUCUGGGAACAAGCUGAGAGGUUCUGUAUCUUGCGGAUCUUUCAUGCAGUUUUCUACUGGGGCAAGAUUUAAAUAUCUUUUUUUCACCAAUGCCACAAAGUUGUUUACACGUGGGAAAUUUUCAUGCUACAGAUCACUGAAUAUUGCAAGUAAUAUGAAUGUAGUAAGGAAGACUUUGCAAGGUAACUCUGUAUGCCUUUAACAUAGAGCUGGCAUUGUCUGUCACCAUGGGAGACACACAGUUAAAAUCAACAACAUAUUUCACAAGACUUUCAUGACAGCCUGACCUACUGUUGUAUAGUUAACUGAAUCAAGAUGCAAUGCAUCUCCCAAAUAAGCUGAAAGUUCCUCUUAAUUAGUAGUUGACAAGCUCUGUGGGAUGAAAAUGUACAAAACAUAGAUUUAGAGUUUUUCAGUAUGCCUUUUAAAUAUUCUUUGUGUGCUGAAUACACUUUAGAAAGAGCCUUGUCUGAGAGUGUCACUGUUUUGCAGUGCUCCACAACUGGGAAUUUUUAUCAUUAAGAAACUUCAUGGCUUUUCAUUAUCCAGCUGUUCCAUCUGUAUGUUUGCUGCACUAAAGGCCUUCUCUAUUUCAAAUAUAUUGACAUUUCAUACCUGUUUGUUUGGUAAGUGUUCAGCAUCAACUUCAAGUUUUAUUUUUUAUUAUGGACAGCACUGUCACAGAGCUCGUUAAUAAUACCUUUCUUGCAAUAAUCCAUGAUGUGAUCCUUUUGGCAAAAUAAAUUUAGCUUUUCUUCAUGCAUCAAGUGUCUUCAUAUUUUAACCAUACACAAGAAAUAUGUUAAAACCCAUUUAAAAUUUGGCACUUUUAGCUCUGACUAGGUGAUUAAUGUACAGAUAAAUAUGCCCUGCUCUCUCUUCAGCUGGUAUUUGUUUGACCCAUUGCUGUAGAACUAUGUACAACCAAUUGUAGCACUGCUUCUACAAUGAAGAGAAUGCAAAAAAUAUUCACAGUAGCCAAUGAGAUACAUAGUUACCUUAGUGUUAUCAUGAACCUUCCCAAGCCCUAUUUAUAGUGGAUAUAUGUAUAUACUACUAUUGUUGCUACCAAAGAAUCUUCAGCAUAUUUGAAAAUACAGUGGUUUAAAGGAUUAUAUGUUUCUGAUUUCUUGAAUUAACUAAGAAUUUUGU